AUAGAACGCUAGGGGAGCCGGAAAUGCCGGCUGAGAGGAAGACCAUUGUCUUUGACCCUUGACCUGAUUCGGAUCAUGCCGACGUAGGAAAGCUUAAGUCAAAUAUA
Molecule: non-coding RNA, 107 nt
Filed under: Petrocella atlantisensis
Lineage: Bacteria; Bacillati; Bacillota; Clostridia; Lachnospirales; Vallitaleaceae
Description: TPP riboswitch aptamer (THI element)
Rfam family: TPP riboswitch aptamer (THI element)
About the family: Vitamin B(1) in its active form thiamin pyrophosphate (TPP) is an essential coenzyme that is synthesised by coupling of pyrimidine and thiazole moieties in bacteria. The previously detected thiamin-regulatory element, thi box was extended, resulting in a new, highly conserved RNA secondary structure, the THI element, which is widely distributed in eubacteria and also occurs in some archaea.
Source: Rfam by way of RNAcentral